RNAcentral lists this long non-coding RNA (2522 nucleotides) under Nicotiana benthamiana. RNAcentral describes it as "long non-coding RNA (NBEN_LNC015867)". Lineage: Eukaryota; Viridiplantae; Streptophyta; Magnoliopsida; Solanales; Solanaceae. The record is from RNAcentral.
UCUUACUCUAAUUUUGGGAACUAAUUACAUUAUCCUACACAUGUUCUAGAUUUACAAUGGGACAGCAAUGGAAUCAAUAGCUAAUGAAACCUGUUUUAUGAAUCUAAAUAACAAAUUGUUAACUAAAGAGUUUAAACUACUGAUUACUUGACUUAAAACUUGAUAUGCAUUUCAAAUGGGUUAUAAGCGAAAUAAGCUGGAGGCGGCAGGACAUGGCUACUGCAUCAUGAGUUCUUUUCUAGCUAACAUACAUAAGAGAUUUGUUCACUAAACUACUUUCAAGGAUUCCAUUAUAUACAUACAGAAUACAACUAAGAUAAACGUAAAACUUCAGUUCUUCAUUUAUAUUUCAUGCUUCAAGUUCAGCCUACAAGUGUACUAGCGUAGCAAUGUCUACCUGGUAUUUGGAAAAGCAAAGAAAGAGAAGGAAGAUCAGUGAUGGCAGCAGUAGCACAAUGAACAAUGCAACAGAUUCAGCAACACCAGUAGUAGACCAUAAUAGUAGGAGGAGCAGAUUGAAAACCAAAUAGAAAGAAUCCAAGAACCAAUGCAACAGUGUUUAAAUCCCAACAGAAGAGCCUAGCAACACCAAAUGGAUAACAAUAGCUCCAGAAGAUAAAUACCAGCAGAAAACCCAAGAUAUAUCACAUUAAACACCCAGCAACAUUCUAGAUGCGCUCACAGUUAAGUGAAAAGUGAGGCUGAUGCAAGGACAAUAUUUCUAAUUGUAAAUACUCAAAGAAAACCCACUGAAACCUUUAAGCACAUCUCAACCUAUAUCACUCUUUAAUUCUGGAAAUUUAGUUCAACUCUCAACCUCACUCUCUAUCUAUUUCUCUGGGGGGGGGGGGGGGNNNNNNNNNNNNNNNNNNNNNNNNNNNNNNNNNNNNNNNNNNNNNNNNNNNNNNNNNNNNNNNNNNNNNNNNNNNNNNGAAUUUAACCUUCUCAUUUUUCAAAUGACUUCAAGAAAGAAUGGAAACAGUGGUUUUUUCUUCUGUUUUGAAUCUCUCUUUUCUGAUUUUCAAAAGACUUCAAGAAAGAAUGGAAACAAUGGUUUUUUAUUCUGCUUUGAAUCUCUCUUUUCUAAUUUUUCAAAAGACUUUCCUCAAAAACUCUCCUAAACUGUUCUGAAAAUAACUCUUAUAUAGCCAAAUUGAACCCUCCUUACACCCUGUUUUAAGCCAUUUAAAACUGACAAGAUCUCUAUUAUUCCUCUGUCUUUCCCACUCAAAAUUGUCUAGGUAUGGAACUUCCAAUUUUUAAACUUCUGAAAAUCAGAAAGUAGUGAAAAUCCUACUGCACAGCAGGUUCCACUACUAAUUCCAUGUGCAUUUUUAGCUUUUCAAUAUUAAAAUCAUCCUACAUCUGACUUUACUCCUAAAGAUGUCAGCCAGGGUGUAUAUGCACUAUGAUUACCUCCAAUGGCUCACACAUGCUCAAGCUGCAAUGCACUUAACUAUACUCUUUAAUUUCUAUAAGAAAUACAGUUAUAACAUUGCAAACAACUUAACUAAACUCUGAAAUUUCUAUUAGAAUUACAGCUAUAACCAAUUCAAUCUCCUAAAUUCACUUAUAACCAAUUCAGAUUUUAAUUCAAACCAGGAUUCGGACACAAAUUAACAGUAUCAAUGACACUACUGUCAACAUGAUCUAACAACCAAGUAUAUACAACCAAUCGACGACAUUUAUCUAAUCAAUUACUGCACACAUAACUAAUAACCGACACAAAACAGUGUGAUUCAUAGCAAUUUGGACAAAACAUGAGAUUAUGAAACUAAAUUUUCAACGAUAUUAAUUGAAUUGAAUAUGUACUCUAUGAUGAACACAUUAAAGAGAAACAAUCAAACGACCAAAUAAAAGGUCUUGUGGGGGAAGAACAGAAUCGGCCAAAAACUAAAACUAAAAAAAUCAAACAACCAAAACCAAACAAAGCAUAUAUUAAUAAAUAAAGUAAAAAAAAAGGAAGAAGAAGUACCUCCAACAAAAUAAAUCAGAAAUCAAACGGGCCAGGGCUUCAAACCGGGUUGACUAUUUUGAGGUCGAAUAGAGUUUAAUUGAAGUGUUCUCAACUGAGAACACCUCAAUUAAAUUCUAUUAGACCCUAAACCCUAAACUAUUGGACAGAAAUCUUCAUCUGGUCUUCCUAGGGUUCUUGAGGGCUCAGAUUGGGGUUCAAGGAGUUAGGGCUUGAUUCGAACCAAACCAACUAUGGUUUGGUGACGAGGGAGGCUAGGGAAGUGUUUGCGGUGAGUUUGGGGUCGGUUGGGAUGGUUUCGUAUUUUACUCGAAUCUUCGAUUGAAGAUUCGAGAAGCUACAACAUGAUUCGAAGUUAACGGGGCAUGGAUUCAUGAAAGAGGGGAGUUAGGAGGUUCAAGGGUAUUGAUUUGGCGGCGAAAUGAGCCGGCGCCGCCAGGUUUUCAGGCGAGGGGAGGGGUGGCGGCUAGGGUUCUUGGGGUGUGUUUGAGUCUCUUGAGAGAGACUAAGUAGAUGAUGGGGGUGUGCAAAUGAAGCGGGUUGAGGG